Molecule: long non-coding RNA, 868 nt
Organism: Hemicordylus capensis (graceful crag lizard)
Lineage: Eukaryota; Metazoa; Chordata; Lepidosauria; Squamata; Cordylidae
Exons: 5
Source: RefSeq, a predicted model, not a curated record
AGCAGAGAGAUAACAGCUGUCCCUGUCCAAAUCCAGCACAGCAUCCCUCCAGUGGUUUUUGCUGCCAUGAAGACCCAAUACAGAUGAGGACCAUGUUGGUGAGAAAGGGACCAAUGGGAGCUUUUCUCCCCUUCCCAAACAGCACCCACAGGGGCCCAAACCAGAUCUGAAUCAUGGAGAGGCCAAAGGUUUUAGGCCCAAUUAUAUCAAGCCCGUGGCAGUCUUGGACACAAAGUGCUACACACAGAGAGAUGUACACAAAUUCCCCAAAUGGCCAUUUUUAGGACACCAGGGUUCUGUGCAGUCCUGGAGAGCUCCCAAGAUCAGAAACCUGCAAGGCAAGAUUGUAUAGAACGAUCAUCUAGCAUUCUGGUUAAUCACCUUUGAAAGCAAGUCACCUUUGAAACCCUAUGGCCCAGAUGCCCAAGAGGAUCCAAAAUAUACUUCUGCUGAAGGGAAAGCAGACCUCAUCAUUCCAUCCCCCGAGGAGACCUCACCAAAGCAUGGUGAUCACCAUGUCCAGGUUCAUCCACUGAGUCACUGUCUCCUCCGCUUCAGAUAUGCAGGCCUGUAUUAUCAAGACAAGGCCUUUCCAUUUGGACUAUCCUCAGUGCCAAGGAUUUUCACUAGGGAUGUGCAGAACUGGUCCGGCGGUCCGCAGUCCGAUGAUUGGGUCUGAGGGUUCAGGGGUUUCGUGAUCGAACCAAAACACACACAAACACACCCGAGUUCUGUCCAGACCGGAACCAAACUGCCGGUCCAGUCCGGCAGGUCCACAAACUUUUUAAAAAAUUUAAAUGAAAAGUAACUACCUGUAGCCUCUUCGGGGGGCUUGCUGUAGCCACGGGGGGUGGAGUCCACGAGGGUU